CAGGGCUUAACAAAUAGCAGCUGCUUUGGGGGCUAAGAUAGAAUAGAUACUAGAGGUCAAGCCGCGCUGGGGGAAGAGCAGUGCCAGAGGGGUAUGCGAUUUAUGGCGCUAACGGAGCAGAGAGAUCUUCUUAACAAUUCAUCAAUACCUUGACAUCUAGCUGAAAUGCCACCAAGCCUAUGCCUUGAGAAUAAAAACUAACCUUUAGGAUAAGACUAACUCUAGAUUCCCCAUGUGUCCUGCACUUGCCCGCUGGCUUUAUUGCGGUCGCAGGAGAUUGCUGAGGGCAGGGCGUACCUGUGGACUCAGUGAUGCAGGCGAGGAGCCCUGGGGAUGGGACAUGCCUGCUGCUGUAGUGAGGCUGGGAGAGGGUACUGGGGUAAGGAGCACGUCGGUAGCUUUAGAGAGGCAGGAGAAUAUUGCUGGGUGCGGGGGCAGGUAUGCCUACAGCUUUACUGGGGCAGAGGAAGAAUGCUAGGGCAGGGCACACCCAUGGCUUUAGUGAGGCCGGUUCAGUGACUGCAAUGACUCUAAGGUUUGGCCUACAGAGAAGAGCGAUCACCCAGCUCUUGAUGAUGCUGGGGCUCCCUCCACAAAUGUAUUUCCUAAAGUUGGUAAAAAAAAAAAAAUGUUUUCUGGACCUUCUCAGUGUGGGCUUUCCUGUCCCAAGUCCCUCAGACACUGCCCUGAUGCUUCCUCUUCCGUGUAUGGACCCAGGUAUUCAGAGACAUUCAGAAAAUAUUGAACUGCCCCCUUUCCUCUUCUCAGCAACCCAGAACUCUUCACACUCUAAAUUUUUAAAUAAAAACAUAAAUGUUUCUCCCUGAUUAAAAGCAUUGAUACCCAA
Long non-coding RNA from Aethalodelphis obliquidens (Pacific white-sided dolphin), 847 nucleotides. RefSeq lists it as uncharacterized. The transcript is spliced from 3 exons. The record is from RefSeq and is a predicted model, not a curated record. Lineage: Eukaryota; Metazoa; Chordata; Mammalia; Artiodactyla; Delphinidae.